This 447-nucleotide ribosomal RNA is filed under the name uncultured bacterium. Its description in RNAcentral is "partial 16S ribosomal RNA". It matches the Rfam family "Bacterial small subunit ribosomal RNA", at positions 28 to 523 of the family's 1533-position model. The record is from RNAcentral.
GAUGAACGCUGGCGGCAGGCCUAACACAUGCAAGUCGAGCGCCCCGCAAGGGGAGCGGCGGACGGGCGAGUAACACGUGGGAAUUUUCCUCAAGGUACGGAACAACUCAGGGAAACUUGGGCUAAUACCGUAUGAUGCAGAGAUGCCAAAGAUUGAUCGCCUUGGGAUAAGCCCGCGUCAGAUUAGGUAGUUGGUGGGGUAAUGGCCUACCAAGCCUGUGAUCUGUAGCUGGUCUGAGAGGACGAUCAGCCACAUUGGGACUGAGACACGGCCCAAACUCCUACGGGAGGCAGCAGUGGGGAAUCUUGCGCAAUGGACGAAAGUCUGACGCAGCCAUGCCGCGUGAAUGAUGAAGGUCUUAGGAUUGUAAAGUUCUUUAGCCUGUGACGAUGAUGACGGUAACAGGAGAAUAAGCCCCGGCUAACUUCGUGCCAGCCGCCGCCGUAA